Molecule: ribosomal RNA, 480 nt
Filed under: Blastocystis sp.
Lineage: Eukaryota; Bigyra; Opalinata; Blastocystidae
Also listed under: 1 other name
Description: SSU rRNA
Rfam family: Eukaryotic small subunit ribosomal RNA
Source: RNAcentral
GGAGGUAGUGACAAUAAAUCACAAUGCGGGACUUCUGUUUCGCAAUUGGAUUGAGAACAACGCACAACACUUAUCGAUAAACAAUUGGAGGGCAAGUCUGGUGCCAGCAGCCGCGGUAAUUCCAGCUCCAAUAGCGUAUAUUAACGUUGUUGCAGUUAAAAAGCUCGUAGUUGAAGUGAAGUAAUGAAGUUGUGAUUUGAAAUUUUUCAUUUCGCUUCUUAAUUACUCUUUCCAAAUUGUUUGCAUGGGUAUUCAUUUAUCUGUGUAUUGCAUUUGGUCAUUUACUGUGAGAAAAUUAGAGUGUUCAAAGCAUACGUUUGUUUGAAUACAUUAGCAUGGAAUAAUUCGAAAAGGCUUUCAUGUUCGAUUUGAUUGGUUUGUUCGUGAGAGCAAGAUUAAAAGGGACAGUUGGGGGUAUUCAUAUUCAAUAGUCAGAGGUGAAAUUCUCGGAUUUAUGGAAGAUGAACAAGUGCGAAAGCA